Long non-coding RNA from Meleagris gallopavo (turkey), 5222 nucleotides. The record is from Ensembl. NCBI's taxonomy places the organism in Eukaryota, Metazoa, Chordata, Aves, Galliformes, Phasianidae.
UCCAGUGGAGCAGGGCAAGCUCUCUGCCUUGGUGUUUACCAGAAGCAAUCCCAGGUAACGUUCCCUCAUCCAACACGGAUAUCAGCCUUUCAGGAGAUAAUUUGCUCUUGAUUAAGAAUCACUAGGAAAUUAAUAAAAACAAUAAUUAGCUAAUGAAGCACAGCUCAUUACUGAAAGGAAAUGUACCCAAAUCUCAGUCCACAUUCUUCAUGGCAGAAGGCAAUUUCUGGGGAAAGCCGACAACACCCUGUUUUACAUUUUUUAUUACAGCAGUCAGGGUACUCCUCACACACUGUGGGUUCUGAUUAACAGGUGAUCACACUAAGAGGAAAGCACAAAGCAACACUGAACUCUGGAAUAUGAACUGCUAUAUGUUCAGGCUUUGAGGAAAAGAAGAAAAAUAAGCACGCAGGAAAUUAUCUAUCUAACAUGAAGAAGAGGAGUAAUUAACUAGGUGGGCCUUCUGUAUAUCUCAGCAGAAGGCAGAUUUAAAGCGUCGCUGUGCUCACUGUGAAGGUAUUUCUGGACAAAAAAUUGCCGCAGAAAAUGGAAAACAAAAGCAGAAGCUUUAUCAUUUCAAGGUCAACAAUGCUAUGUAUUUAAGGAAGCUUAAAAAAAAUAGCGCUUCACGCUCUUUCCCUACAGCAAAUACAAAUAAACAAGCAGAAGUACUUAACAACUGAGAACUAACAGUGACAGACAUGAGAGCCUUGUCCACCCCUCUGAAAAGAUCAGAAGAAAUAAUCUUAGAAGUCUUCUCGCUCUGCGAACAAGCCUCUUCCCAUCCUCAAGCACUACACAAGCAUGAGUACAGCACUCUGCAAUUAGCGCUGGAGCAGAGGAGUACACCUGUAUCACAUCUAUCACUGAAAUGCAGCCACCAUCGACUUAGACCACGGCAGCUGUUUGAUGGCGUGCACCAAUUACACCUAGCAGUGAGGACAGGAAGGGAAGAAGGCGCUGUAAUCAGCAGAGGCUACGGGGGGGAUUCAUGUAACACAACCUAAUUACUUGCCUGGAUUUUGGCCAGUACACUAACUAGAGAUACCAUCCUCACUCCUAAGCAAGCAGCCUUGAAACUUCAAUUAUUGCGGUGGUCAAGGUCUUAGUUUUAUAUCUUGAAGGCAGCAACUCCAGCAACACAAUUAUAUUACUCCAGUACUGACUCAACAGAGAAAGUGCCACCCGCUGAAACGCCAUCGUGUCCUGUAGCAUAUAAAUGAUAAUUAGCGGUCUUUUUUUUUUUCCCCUAGAAAUUAUGAGAUGCUCUAUAGGCUGCACAGCAUGAGAUUUGAUAAGAUGAGAGCACUGGGUGGUAUAGCUAAUAAAUCAGUUUACUGUACAACCUCAUUUCUUUAAUGAACGGCAAAUACCUGAGCCUCAGCAAAGAGCUCCAGGCACACACUUGCAGAACGAAAUGCUGGAUGUAAUUUUUGUGUUGUCUCUGAAGAGGGAGUGCUGACCUACCACUAGGCAUUAGCAAACAGUCUCCUGCCAGGGGGCAAUGCUAAGUGUAAACCUUGAUGUAAGAAUUAAAACAUAAAAUCCAAAAUACCAGAAGAGAUAAGUGGCAAAGCCAUUAUCGGAGAAUAGCCCAGCAGAGGUACCAUUUUCAUAAGAGAGUAACUUUUAGAAGCUGACAAGAGCUGUCAAGAGCUGUCAAGGUGUCAGGCCGGGAGAAGAGCCAGCACAAUUAACAUAUACUAGGCUUCAAUCUGCUGCGCGGGGAAAAAAGAGGGAUUUGUUUUGGACAAUUACAAGUUAAUAAAUGGAAGUGUCAGUUCCUCUGCAGUUAUUUCUACAGCACACAUUAAAUUGUACUAAAGGCCAAAACCUUUCACAGUUCCUGUCAUGGUAGGCAACAGUACCAUUAUUUUAUAUUUCAGGCAAUGUCAAUGACAGCAGUUACAAAUGUCCAAGAAAAUAUUUCCCAUAGCAGCAUAUCAGGCAGUUUACUUGGCAGAAAUCAUCUGUGCUCUGAGCAGUGACUAGUGGUUUAGAUUUUUAUUAUGAAGACUAUUUUUUCCCCUGCAAAACACACACAUACAAAUGAGUGCUGGAAGUGAAGUGCUCGGAAAGUCAUCUCUGUUCAGAUGGCACCCCAAGAGAUUUGCAAAGGAUUCAAACUCACCAUGCAUACAGAGGAAGGCACAGAAGCCUCCAUGUAGAAGUGAACCCACACUGCAUGAGGAGCAGCUAUCGAAGCUUGAAUUUUAUCCCAAAUCCUUACAGAAUGGAAAAAAAGCUUAAAAAUCCCAUACGUCUUAAUGCAAGCUUUUUUCUCCUCUGUUGCUGAAGGAAAAUGGUUUGACAUGAUUUUUGCCUUGUUGCUCUUCCCGUUAAUCAAGCCAGAAAGAUGAAUCAUUAGCUGUUUUAUCUUCCUUUUGUUCACAGUCAGACAGGUGUGCAGAACCAAAGCAAAAUACUACAGCAGUGUUUAAAAGAAAUCCGCUACCCACAGAGUAAUUUGGGAAAUACUACCUAUUAGUUAAGUCAUUAUCCAUCCUUACUGAAGUAAAAUAACCCCCCGAUUCAUCAUCAAAAGUGAGGUUAUCCACACAUACUAUUUUAAGACUGCCCAAUUGCUACUGCUGCAAAUACUAUUUUUUGGUUAUGAGAGCUCUGCUUUGGCAGCCGGCUGCUCCUCCUCACUCUGAGGAAGUUUAAAAACAAAUUAAAGAUCCUAAAAUGGGCUUGGGAACAGCAUACACCUCGCAGGAAUCUUGGCAUGGGGUGAAUGGACAGCUGCUUCAGUCCUGACCUAUUUCUAAGCAUCUGAACAAACACAUCUCUUUAUAAAUACUACCUGCAGAGUACUCUUUCAGUUGUUGAUCUCCCAGUCAUUAUAUGAGCAUCUCAGAAACUUCCUUUGCUUUUCCAGCCCUGAGUUGAAUUGAGUUACGUUGGAUCUGGCCAUAGGAGCAAGUUUUUAACGCACACAGGUGAACUAGAGCAACUUAAGCUAGGUUAUAUUUUUAAUAUAUUUCUAAUUAUACAACUCAUACCAUUUUAUCAACCUUAUAAAGUAGGCUGAUGCCAGGAAAAUGUACUAAUUGUGGUAUCCCUCAGAAUUGCAAAACUAUGAGCAGGAACAAGGGAAGAAAAUGAAGUAACCCACAUUAGUAGCAUUCAUUAUCCUCACAUUCAAAGAAAGGAAAAAAUAAAGAUUCAUUAAGCAAGAAACAAGCCUUGAGAUGGCAGACAAGAAAGUCCCUUGCUGGGGCAGAGAAGUAGGACUGCAGAGAGACAAGGCAGAGGACGAGGUGGCAGCAGCCCAUGAUUUAUAAAUCAGAUGACAGAGAUAACUAAUUCCUAUUAGUUCAAUGCUUGCUUAGUGAAAGAAAAAGGCAAACUAAGGAUGAGGAGUUUGAUAAGCAUCAUUUUAAUGUUUCAUUUAUUUUUUUCUAUUUUUUUUCCAUCUGUGAGAACCCAUUUUCAUAUGUGUCUUUUGUUCAAUUUUUUAUCGUAUCUAGCGACAGCCCUAUCUCAUAUACAGUAUCUUUCAUCUAUGAGAGAAAGGCUACUGACCACCUUAAGCAUCCUUAAACAAACGCCCUGCUCUUGCACUGCUCACUCUAACUGAAGCCCCUUCGGCCAGAGGAAUGGUUGCUUUCUUACAGCUAGAGAGGGAUACCAAUAAUGGCAGGGAGGAAUGUGCACAUUUGGGGUGAAGGGAUGAGCUGAUCCCUAAGGGAGUCUCCAAUAGCUAUCUUUAACAGCUGGUAGUGCUGGAAACCUUCCCUUCUCAACAUUCUUGUUGAGUCCAGGCUUCCUUUCUCUCCCUCGUGGAAUUUGUAGGCUAAUACAUCUCUGCGUGAUCACAAGUGAUGUAACACAGUGAGAUCCUGUCUGUACCAGAUGCAAACGUGCAGUUGUCAGUAUAAGCACAGAAUUUUAAAGCUAUACAAAAUAUAUGCAAAGAAGGGUGAUUCAUCCAAAAAAAAAAANNNNNNNNNNNNNNNNNNNNNNNNNNNNNNNNNNNNNNNNNNNNNNNNNNNNNNNNNNNNNNNNNNNNNNNNNNNNNNNNNNNNNNNNNNNNNNNNNNNNAAGCAUUAAAAAGUGGUUUUUUUUUCAUUUAAUAGAUUUUUGUCAUUUCUCUGACUUUCAGUGACAGAAAAGUGGAUGCAGGUUACAUAGAGCUAACUUUUUGCAUGAACUCUUGGUAGCAUUAGCAUAUCAAGAUGACAGCAGCAUGAGAGAAGCAGGAAGCUGGGCAUUUAAAAGUAGCAGCAUUAAUAAUGAAUGAGCUUGAAUUAAUAUUAUUCAUUAUUUAUAUUAUGGUGUACCAUGGGUUUCAGUCAGUUCUAAUUUAAGAAAAGAUGCAACAUGCUGUUGUUUCCUUCAAGGAAAGAGAAGGAUGCCUGCAAGAGAGGCAAAGACACAAAGCCCAGCUGUAUUUAUGUUGUCUUCUGCAGGCAGAAAGUCUUAAAAUAAAGAAAGAAACAAAAAUAAUUCAGCCAAAAGACAGUAGCACUUUCUAUAAUUUGAUGUUAAACCACAACUCUUCUGCCACAUAUGGAGUCUUUGGAAGGAAAUAAAAGGUUCUUUGCAGAAUAAUUGAGGUUUGUCACAAGGAUGCUUGUCUCGAGCAGGCAUAGAUGAAAGCCUAGUGAGAAACUAGGGCUAUUUCUCAAAUAACACCAUAUGGUAUCCUUGAAAUGAAGGAAGAGGCUGGGCUGAAUUCAAAACAGGACUUAUGGGAGGAGCACACUUCUAAUUUUCUUUUCCACCAACACUUGAAACCUUCUUAAACAAGGGCUGCUGUCCGUCUGUUGGCAGAGCUCAGGAGCAGCCGCAGUACUGCUCUUUUGAACCAUCCCUCGUUCCAAAACUUUUAUGUGCUGUGUGAGGGUGGGGAAAGUUCAACUUAGUGAGUUGUUCAGAUCUUUGCUAGACAAUUAAAAUUGUAGCAGUAACUGAGAAAUAAAAAAAUCGAGACCUACUAACCGCUGAAGCUCACAGAGAACAGGCUCUGCAGUUAGACUGUUCCUAGAAAAGGGGAAUCACUUGUAUGUAUGCUGCCUGUCUACUCACAUCUCCUUCCGAAAGACAACACAAAUCACAAUGUUGUGUUCCACUAAUGGGUGAGAACUACAACUUAAAAAAGAACAAGCUCAUCUUGAGAGGUUGGAAUUUAAUACAUUACUGUCAACGUACAUCUGUCUUUCAUUUAAGAAAACUUAGAACUUUACUGUAAAUAAUAUUCUUUCCUUGAGUUCUGU